Molecule: long non-coding RNA, 547 nt
Organism: Oncorhynchus keta (chum salmon)
Lineage: Eukaryota; Metazoa; Chordata; Actinopteri; Salmoniformes; Salmonidae
Exons: 3
Source: RefSeq, a predicted model, not a curated record
CUAGUAACCAGCAGGUAGUCUAGUGGUUAGAGUGUUGGACUAGUAACCAGCAGGUAGCCUAGUGGUUAGAGUGUUGGGCCAGUAACCAGCAGGUAGCCUAGUGGUUAGAGUGUUGGGCCAGUAACCAGCAGGUAGCCUAGUGGUUAGAGCGUUGGGCCAGUAACCAGCAGGUAGACUAGUGGUUAGAGCGUUGGGCCAGUAACCAGCAGGUAGCCUAGUGGUUAGAGCGUUGGGCCAGUAACCAGCAGGUAGCCUAGUGGUUAGAGUGUUGGGCCAGUAACCAGCAGGUAGACUAGUGGUUAGAGCGUUGGGCCAGUAACCAGCAGGUAGCCUAGUGGUUAGAGUGUUGGGCCAGUAACCAGCAGGUAGACUAGUGGUUAGAGCGUUGGGCCAGUAACCAGCAGGUAGCCUAGUGGUUAGAGUGUUGGGCCAGUAACCAGCAGGUAGACUAGUGGUUAGAGCGUUGGGCCAGUAACCAGCAGGUAGCCUAGUGGUUAGAGUGUUGGGCCAGUAACCAGCAGGUAGUCUAGUGGUUAGAGUGUUGGGC